Molecule: transfer RNA, 64 nt
Filed under: Temnothorax algiricus trabutii
Lineage: Eukaryota; Metazoa; Arthropoda; Insecta; Hymenoptera; Formicidae
Description: tRNA-Leu
Source: RNAcentral
UAUGGCAGAUAAAGUGCAAUGGAUUUAAGAUCCUCUUAUAAAGAAAUUAAUUCUUUUAUUAAAA